This 22-nucleotide small nuclear RNA is filed under the name Arabidopsis thaliana (thale cress). Its description in RNAcentral is "snRNA_16200". Lineage: Eukaryota; Viridiplantae; Streptophyta; Magnoliopsida; Brassicales; Brassicaceae. The record is from RNAcentral.
CGUUUAGAAAUUGGUUAAUCGG